This 208-nucleotide ribosomal RNA is filed under the name uncultured bacterium. RNAcentral's name for it is "partial 16S ribosomal RNA". It matches the Rfam family "Bacterial small subunit ribosomal RNA", at positions 568 to 774 of the family's 1533-position model. The record is from RNAcentral.
UGUGUAGGUGGCGCGCUAAGUCGGGUGUGAAAUUUCGGAGCUUAACUCCGAAACUGCAUUCGAUACUGGCGUGCUUGAGGACUGGAGAGGAGACUGGAAUUUACGGUGUAGCAGUGAAAUGCGUAGAUAUCGUAAGGAAGACCAGUGGCGAAGGCGGGUCUCUGGACAGUUCCUGACACUGAGACACGAAGGCCAGGGGGAGCAAACG